UUUGGGGGUGCCACUCGUUUGGGUGGCUGAGAUCAUACCCAUGGAAUCUGAUCCGGAUCAUGCCGGCGUAGAGAACUAAACUUAUU
RNAcentral lists this non-coding RNA (86 nucleotides) under bovine gut metagenome. Its description in RNAcentral is "TPP riboswitch (THI element)". The stretch from base 3 to 75 matches the Rfam family "TPP riboswitch aptamer (THI element)", at positions 10 to 89 of the family's 105-position model. From Rfam's summary of the family: Vitamin B(1) in its active form thiamin pyrophosphate (TPP) is an essential coenzyme that is synthesised by coupling of pyrimidine and thiazole moieties in bacteria. The previously detected thiamin-regulatory element, thi box was extended, resulting in a new, highly conserved RNA secondary structure, the THI element, which is widely distributed in eubacteria and also occurs in some archaea. The record is from RNAcentral.